RNAcentral lists this long non-coding RNA (991 nucleotides) under Vulpes vulpes (red fox). RNAcentral describes it as "lncRNA (ENSVVUG00000003616.1)". The record is from RNAcentral. Lineage: Eukaryota; Metazoa; Chordata; Mammalia; Carnivora; Canidae.
CCAAAGCAGUUGUGCAACUUUUCAUAUCGACUGCCUGAGUGAUUAAAGAAUUUGAAAGCAAUUCAUCUAAAAGGGACUCCCCUUGAGAGUAAGCCGCCUGAGGUUGGGAAUGAAGGUGGCUCUGCAAUUUCUAAGAGGAGGCCCAGGGGGCAGAGAUGUUACUGGAAAAGGAGCAAUCAGAGGCCAUACCAGGGGCCUGGGGUGGAAAUGUUAGUGGCAUAAUAAACACAAUAUUUAUCCUUAGAUGACGUCCUAGGGGAAAAUUACAAAGAUUUUUUUUUUCUGAGAAUAAUUUUGAUAAGACUGAGAAAAAUCCCAACCACCCAUAUUACAGAUUCAGACGGCAAGGCUGCUGAGCAGAGCAUGUUCCAGGAGGUAGCAACUGGAGGAGCAAGAGCCUGGCCGAGCCUAUCAGACAAUCUUUGAUGCCUGAUGCCGGAGAGGAAAACAGAGACUGAUUCAUCUUGACACCCUGGCUCUUAGCAGAGUCAUCAGCGCAGCCCAGAGAUCUACGUAUCUUGUGAGCCAGUGCCCAGGAUGACCCGUUGGAAGAGUGUGGCUGGGCGGUUGCCAAAUCUCAACAGACAAAGCAGCACACAAUGUGAUAGCUCAUCCAGAUGAUUUAGGUCAGAAUCUCCCCACGACCCUGGAAUCUCAAAAAAAAAAAAAAAAAAAAAAAAAAAAANCGCACUGGCUCAGGACUUUACAGUUAGCUUCCCUGAGGUUGGACCACCAAGACACAAGUGCUGAGCAAGGCAAGGAAGAAGUUUCUCUUGAAUUCGAUUGGGCUGAGAUAAGUCACAAGAGGGAUGGGGAUGGUGCCGAGAGGGAGGCACUGACUACACAAACAGAGAAAAUGAAGACAAGAUCCAGCCCAUACUUUCAUUUCACAUGGUAGCAGGCUGAGGCUGGAAGGGGAAAGACAACUCGCUCACUGAGUCAGAGCCUGUAAAGUCAUCUUCAGGUCAGAUUCCUUGGCUCUCAUACUCCA